Molecule: ribosomal RNA, 909 nt
Filed under: uncultured bacterium
Lineage: Bacteria
Description: bacterial SSU rRNA
Rfam family: Bacterial small subunit ribosomal RNA
Source: RNAcentral
ACGCUGGCGGCGUGCCUAAUACAUGCAAGUAGAACGCUGAAGGAGGAGCUUCCUUCUCUGGAUGAGUUGCGAACGGGUGAGUAACGCGUAGGUAACCUGCCUGGUAGCGGGGGAUAACUAUUGGAAACGAUAGCUAAUACCGCAUAAGAGUAGAUGUUGCAUGACAUUUACUUAAAAGGUGCAAUUGCAUCACUACCAGAUGGACCUGCGUUGUAUUAGCUAGUUGGUGGGGUAACGGCUCACCAAGGCGACGAUACAUAGCCGACCUGAGAGGGUGAUCGGCCACACUGGGACUGAGACACGGCCCAGACUCCUACGGGAGGCAGCAGUAGGGAAUCUUCGGCAAUGGACGGAAGUCUGACCGAGCAACGCCGCGUGAGUGAAGAAGGUUUUCGGAUCGUAAAGCUCUGUUGUAAGAGAAGAACGAGUGUGAGAGUGGAAAGUUCACACUGUGACGGUAUCUUACCAGAAAGGGACGGCUAACUACGUGCCAGCAGCCGCGGUAAUACGUAGGUCCCGAGCGUUGUCCGGAUUUAUUGGGCGUAAAGCGAGCGCAGGCGGUUAGAUAAGUCUGAAGUUAAAGGCUGUGGCUUAACCAUAGUACGCUUUGGAAACUGUUUAACUUGAGUGCAAGAGGGGAGAGUGGAAUUCCAUGUGUAGCGGUGAAAUGCGUAGAUAUAUGGAGGAACACCGGUGGCGAAAGCGGCUCUCUGGCUUGUAACUGACGCUGAGGCUCGAAAGCGUGGGGAGCAAACAGGGUUAGAUACCCUGGUAGUCCACGCCGUAAACGAUGAGUGCUAGGUGUUAGACCCUUUCCGGGGUUUAGUGCCGCAGCUAACGCAUUAAGCACUCCGCCUGGGGAGUACGACCGCAAGGUUGAAACUCAAAGGAAUUGACGGGGGCCCGCAC